GCUGCUUUUGGGUGCCGGCACUGCCCGGGCCGGGCUGGGAGCGGAGGAGGAGCGGGAGGGAGAGGAGGGACAGAGGAGGAGGAAAAGGAAAGGGAAAGAGAGAGAGAGGAGCGGGAAGAAGAGGAAGAGGAGGGCCAGAGGAGGAGGAAGAGGAGCAGCGGGAGGAGGAGCCGCAGCACCAACCCCACGCGGUUCCCCCGCUCGGGCCGCGGCUGCCCCGGUUCCGCCCCCUCCGGAAGCCGCAGGAUUUCCCAUUCCCAAACCUUGGCCAGGUGGAGGAGGAGGCUGCAAGGAGGAAGAAGAUGCCCCAGGACACCCAGGCAGGGAAGGAGCUGAGCAUGGAGAGCAGGGAGGACAAAUCCCCACAGCAGAACCUGGUGGCUGAGGCCGUUUGGAGUGGCUCCAGGGCACAGGAAUCCAACGGGGAGGAAAAGUCCCCGAGAUCCCACACAAGGAGGGGCUGCAAACGCAGAUCACGGGGAUCCGAGGAGGAAAGACCAACCUUGGGCUGGGAAGGUGACCACAGGUCAGAGUUGGGGGUCCCUGAGCAGCUUCAGGAUGGGGAGAAGCCCCACAAGUGCUCGGAAUGUGGGAAGAGCUUCAGGUGGAGAUCGUCCCUGAUCAACCAUUGGAGAAUCCACACAGAGGAAGGGCCCUAUGAGUGUGGGCAG
Agelaius phoeniceus (red-winged blackbird) is the source of this 671-nucleotide non-coding RNA. Lineage: Eukaryota; Metazoa; Chordata; Aves; Passeriformes; Icteridae. The record is from RefSeq and is a predicted model, not a curated record.